UUCGCGGUAUUAUUCCUGUGAAUGUUUUCCAUUUACAAUCACAGGAUAAUACUGCGAG
Non-coding RNA from Papilio machaon (common yellow swallowtail), 58 nucleotides. NCBI's taxonomy places the organism in Eukaryota, Metazoa, Arthropoda, Insecta, Lepidoptera, Papilionidae. The record is from Rfam.